Molecule: unclassified non-coding RNA, 378 nt
Filed under: plant metagenome
Description: partial contains 5.8S ribosomal RNA, internal transcribed spacer 2, and large subunit ribosomal RNA
Rfam family: 5.8S ribosomal RNA (bases 1-105)
Source: RNAcentral
GAAAUGCGAUAAGUAAUGUGAAUUGCAGAAUUCAGUGAAUCAUCGAAUCUUUGAACGCACCUUGCGCUCCUUGGUAUUCCUUGGAGCAUGCCUGUUUGAGUAUCAUGAAAUCUUCAAAGUAAAUCUUUUGUUAACUCAAUUGGUUUCUACUUUGGUAUUGGAGGUCUUUGCAGCUUCACACCUGCUCCUCUUUGUUCAUUAGCUGGAUCUCAGUGUUAUGCUUGGUUCCACUCGGCGUGAUAAGUUAUCUAUCGCUGAGGACACUGUAAAAGGUGGCCAAGGUAAAUGCAGAUGAACCGCUUCUAAUAGUCCAUUGACUUGGACAAUACUUUUAUGAUCUGAUCUCAAAUCAGGUAGGAAGACCCGCUGAACUUAAGC